Molecule: non-coding RNA, 28 nt
Filed under: Mus musculus (house mouse)
Lineage: Eukaryota; Metazoa; Chordata; Mammalia; Rodentia; Muridae
Source: RNAcentral
UUUUAAAAAAAAUCUGUGGUAUUGUUCC